RNAcentral lists this unclassified non-coding RNA (238 nucleotides) under Hevea brasiliensis (rubber tree). The record is from RNAcentral. Lineage: Eukaryota; Viridiplantae; Streptophyta; Magnoliopsida; Malpighiales; Euphorbiaceae.
UGCUUGCUUGCUUUUGUAUACGCAUGGUCGCAGAAAAGGAAGGAGAAUACAGCGUCUGUUCUGCUUAAAGCAACAUUUGCCCCACAACAGUCUUGUAGGAUAUCAAAGAUGAUCUCUGGUGUGGCAAUUGAAAAGGCACAGGGCUUGAAAAUCUCAGAGCAAGUUAUGAUUUUCGUUCAUCAAUAGUGAUUCCAUGUAAUAGUGUACUCUAGAUUAGUGUUGUAUACCGUUAUUGUAA